Molecule: ribosomal RNA, 238 nt
Filed under: Pseudomonas sp.
Lineage: Bacteria; Pseudomonadati; Pseudomonadota; Gammaproteobacteria; Pseudomonadales; Pseudomonadaceae
Description: partial 16S ribosomal RNA
Rfam family: Bacterial small subunit ribosomal RNA
Source: RNAcentral
GCAAGCGUUAAUCGGAAUUACUGGGCGUAAAGCGCGCGUAGGUGGUUCGUUAAGUCAGAUGUGAAAUCCCCGGAGCUCAACCGGGAACUGCAUUCGAAACUGACGAGCUAGAGUAUGGUAGAGGGUGGUAGAAUUUCAUGUGUAGCGGUGAAAUGCGUAGAUAUAGGAAGGAACACCAGUGGCGAAGGCGACCCCCUGGACAGAUACUGACACUGAGGUGCGAAAGCGUGGGGAGCAA